UCUUACUUUCACCAGCGUUUCUGGGUGGAGCAAAAACAGGAAGGCAAAAUGCCGCAAAAAAGGGAAUAAGGGCGACACGGAAAUGUUGAAUACUCAUACUCUCCUUUUUCAAUAUUAUUGAAGCAUUUAUCAGGGUUAUUGUCUCAUGAGCGGAUACAUAUUUGAAUGUAUUUAGAAAAAUAAACAAAUAGGGGUUCCGCGCACAUUUCCCCGAAAAGUGCCACCUGACGUCUAAGAAACCAUUAUUAUCAUGACAUUAACCUAUAAAAAUAGGCGUAUCACGAGGCCCUUUCGUCUCGCGCGUUUCGGUGAUGACGGUGAAAACCUCUGACACAUGCAGCUCCCGGAGACGGUCACAGCUUGUCUGUAAGCGGAUGCCGGGAGCAGACAAGCCCGUCAGGGCGCGUCAGCGGGUGUUGGCGGGUGUCGGGGCUGGCUUAACUAUGCGGCAUCAGAGCAGAUUGUACUGAGAGUGCACCAUAUGCGGUGUGAAAUACCGCACAGAUGCGUAAGGAGAAAAUACCGCAUCAGGCGCCAUUCGCCAUUCAGGCUGCGCAACUGUUGGGAAGGGCGAUCGGUGCGGGCCUCUUCGCUAUUACGCCAGCUGGCGAAAGGGGGAUGUGCUGCAAGGCGAUUAAGUUGGGUAACGCCAGGGUUUUCCCAGUCACGACGUUGUAAAACGACGGCCAGUGAAUUCGAGCUCGGUACCGUAAUACGACUCACUAUAGGGCGACAUAUGAUCGAUGAUAUCCCAUGGGCGGCCGCCUGCAGACCAGGUCUGCAGGAAGAUUCUAAAACCUUGGAAAAUGCCCAACGGCAGAACCAAAUUAUGGCCAUGGGAUUUGCCAAAGGCGCUGUCAGGCGGGGGAGUAGAAGUUUUCGGACAUGCAAAAUUUGAACCUGAUUGGGAGAAGUAUGCAGGUUUCAAACCAAAAAGUGUGAUUGUCUUCGUUCUUGAAGAGGAUUACGAAGCUUUGCGCACCUCACCGUCAGUCAUUUCCAGUACCUCGGUGAAGACUGGAGAUCUGGAUCCCUCGAGUCUAGAGUCGACCUGCAGGCAUGCAAGCUGGCGUAAUCAUGUCCAAGUCCC
RNAcentral lists this ribosomal RNA (1090 nucleotides) under uncultured bacterium. RNAcentral's name for it is "partial 16S ribosomal RNA". The record is from RNAcentral.